GCGGAGGUGUUCCGUGUCCCCGAGCCGGAGCCGACUACGGAGGUGUUCCGUGUCCCCGAGCCGGAGCCGACUACGGAGGUGUUCCGUGUCCCCGAGCCGGAGCCGACUACGGAGGUGUUCCGUGUCCCCGAGCCGGAGCCGACUACGGAGGUGUUCCGUGUCCCCGAGCCGGAGCCGACUACGGAGGUGUUCCGUGUCCCCGAGCCGGAGCCGCCGACUACCCAGGAGGUGUUCCGUGUCCCCGAGCCGGCGCCGCCGACUACCCCGGAGGUUUCCCGUUUCUCAGAGCCUGCCAUUCCUGAGACGUUCCGUGCCCUGUGGUCACCGCUCCGGAGCCGGCGAAAGGACCGCCCGCCGGGCCGACCCCCAGAGGCUCCCCGCUCGUCUGGCCGCCCGCCGGGCCGACCCCCAGAGGCUCCCGGGUGGUCCGACCAACGUCUCGGGUUUCCCUCCCCCCCUCCCCUUGUUUCGCUCUAGUGUGAGCCGCCUGGAAGUCGGCCCUUGAGGGGGGGGUACUGUCACGGUGUGGUUCACUUCCUGUCUUAUUUUGUAGUUUUCUGCCACUCGUGUCCCCGGGUAACUUCACUUCCUGCCUUGUCUCGUCAUCCCCUGUGUUCGUCUAAUAGUUUCCACCUGUGUCCAAUCACCUGCACC
Molecule: long non-coding RNA, 654 nt
Organism: Gasterosteus aculeatus aculeatus (three-spined stickleback)
Lineage: Eukaryota; Metazoa; Chordata; Actinopteri; Perciformes; Gasterosteidae
Source: Ensembl